GAUGAACGCUGGCGGCGUGCCUAAUACAUGCAAGUCGAGCGAACAGACGAGGAGCUUGCUCCUCUGACGUUAGCGGCGGACGGGUGAGUAACAUGUGGAUAAUCUACCUAUACGACUGGGAUAACUUCGGGAAACCGGAGCUAAUCCCGAAUAAUUAAUUAAACCGUAUGGUUUAAUUAUGAAGUACGGUUUCGUUGCUACCUAUGGAUGCUUCCUCGCCGAAUUAGCUAGUUGGUAUGGUAACGUUUUACCAAGGCAACGCUGCGAAGCCAACCUGAGAGGGUAGUCGGCCACACGGGAACGAGGAACCGCUCCAGACUCCUACGGGAGGCAGCAGUAGGGAAUCUUCCGCAAUGGGCGAAAGCCUGACGGAGCAACGCCGCGUAAGUGAUGAAGGUCUUCGGAUCUUAAAACUCUGUUAUUAGGGAGGAACAAAUGUGUAAGUAACUAUGCACGUCUUGACGGUACCUUAUCAGAAAGGCACGGCUAACUACGUG
Molecule: ribosomal RNA, 497 nt
Filed under: uncultured bacterium
Lineage: Bacteria
Description: partial 16S ribosomal RNA
Rfam family: Bacterial small subunit ribosomal RNA
Source: RNAcentral